UCCACAGUAGCUCAGUGGUAGAGCAAUCGGCUGUUAACCGAUCGGUCGUAGGUUCGAAUCCUACCU
Sporolactobacillus inulinus CASD is the source of this 66-nucleotide transfer RNA. It matches the Rfam family "tRNA". Rfam says of the family: Transfer RNA (tRNA) molecules are approximately 80 nucleotides in length. Their secondary structure includes four short double-helical elements and three loops (D, anti-codon, and T loops). Further hydrogen bonds mediate the characteristic L-shaped molecular structure. tRNAs have two regions of fundamental functional importance: the anti-codon, which is responsible for specific mRNA codon recognition, and the 3' end, to which the tRNAs corresponding amino acid is attached (by aminoacyl-tRNA synthetases). tRNAs cope with the degeneracy of the genetic code in two manners: having more than one tRNA (with a specific anti-codon) for a particular amino acid; and 'wobble' base-pairing, i.e. permitting non-standard base-pairing at the 3rd anti-codon position. NCBI's taxonomy places the organism in Bacteria, Bacillati, Bacillota, Bacilli, Caryophanales, Sporolactobacillaceae. The record is from Rfam.